Molecule: ribosomal RNA, 480 nt
Filed under: uncultured bacterium
Lineage: Bacteria
Description: partial 16S ribosomal RNA
Rfam family: Bacterial small subunit ribosomal RNA
Source: RNAcentral
UUGAACGCUGGCGGCAUGCCUUACACAUGCAAGUCGAACGGUAACAGGUCUUCGGAUGCUGACGAGUGGCGAACGGGUGAGUAAUACAUCGGAACGUGCCCGAUCGUGGGGGAUAACGAGGCGAAAGCUUUGCUAAUACCGCAUACGAUCUACGGAUGAAAGCGGGGGAUCUUCGGACCUCGCGCGGACGGAGCGGCCGAUGGCAGAUUAGGUAGUUGGUGGGAUAAAAGCUUACCAAGCCGACGAUCUGUAGCUGGGCUGAGAGGAUGAUCAGCCACACUGGGACUGAGACACGGCCCAGACUCCUACGGGAGGCAGCAGUGGGGAAUUUUGGACAAUGGGCGAAAGCCUGAUCCAGCCAUGCCGCGUGCAGGAUGAAGGCCUUCGGGUUGUAAACUGCUUUUGUACGGAACGAAAAGCCUCUUUCUAAUAAAGAGGGGUCAUGACGGUACCGUAAGAAUAAGCACCGGCUAACUGCGU